GUUCUGCUAAGGAGUCCCACCAUAGAACGAAACGGCCGUCCAGUAC
Schistosoma rodhaini is the source of this 46-nucleotide non-coding RNA. The record is from Rfam. NCBI's taxonomy places the organism in Eukaryota, Metazoa, Platyhelminthes, Trematoda, Strigeidida, Schistosomatidae.